RNAcentral lists this ribosomal RNA (492 nucleotides) under uncultured bacterium. Its description in RNAcentral is "partial 16S ribosomal RNA". It matches the Rfam family "Bacterial small subunit ribosomal RNA", at positions 29 to 507 of the family's 1533-position model. The record is from RNAcentral.
AGUGAACGCUGGCGGUAGGCCUAACACAUGCAAGUCGAACGGCAGCACAGUAAGAGCUUGCUCUUACGGGUGGCGAGUGGCGGACGGGUGAGGAAUACAUCGGAAUCUACUUUUUCGUGGGGGAUAACGUAGGGAAACUUACGCUAAUACCGCAUACGACCUACGGGUGAAAGCAGGGGAUCUUCGGACCUUGCGCGAUUGAAUGAGCCGAUGUCGGAUUAGCUAGUUGGCGGGGUAAAGGCCCACCAAGGCGACGAUCCGUAGCUGGUCUGAGAGGAUGAUCAGCCACACUGGAACUGAGACGCGGUCCAGACUCCUACGGGAGGCAGCAGUGGGGAAUAUUGGACAAUGGGCGCAUGCCUGAUCCAGCCAUACCGCGUGGGUGAAGAAGGCCUUCGGGUUGUAAAGCCCUUUUGUUGGGAAAGAAAAGCAGCAGGUUAAUACCCCGCUGUUCUGACGGUACCCAAAGAAUAAGCACCGGCUAACUUCGUG